RNAcentral lists this ribosomal RNA (253 nucleotides) under uncultured bacterium. RNAcentral's name for it is "partial 16S ribosomal RNA". It matches the Rfam family "Bacterial small subunit ribosomal RNA", at positions 524 to 776 of the family's 1533-position model. The record is from RNAcentral.
UACGUAGGGGGCAAGCGUUGUCCGGAUUUAUUGGGCGUAAAGAGCGUGUAGGCGGCUAUACAGGUCCGCUGUGAAAACUCGAGGCUCAACCUCGAGACGUCGGUGGAAACCGUAUGGCUAGAGUCCGGAAGAGGAGAGUGGAAUUCCUGGUGUAGCGGUGAAAUGCGCAGAUAUCAGGAAGAACACCCGUGGCGAAGGCGGCUCUCUGGGACGGUACUGACGCUGAGACGCGAAGGCGUGGGGAGCGAACAGG